Molecule: long non-coding RNA, 212 nt
Filed under: Elaeis guineensis (African oil palm)
Lineage: Eukaryota; Viridiplantae; Streptophyta; Magnoliopsida; Arecales; Arecaceae
Description: long non-coding RNA (EGUI_LNC082147)
Source: RNAcentral
CUUCUUGCUUUCUUUUCAUUCCUCCUCUCUUAUUCUUCUUAUAUCCAUGGUGGAUCAUAGACCUAAUGUCUCAAGUCUAGGUUCCUUUUAUAGGGUUUUAUUGAUUUUUCUCCCAAUUAAUGCAUGGUAAUUUUUAUCAUCCCUUUAUUUUUUUAAUAUAACCAUCAUAGUAAAUUAUAUAUCCACUACAUAAAGAUACCUAUGAAGCAACU